Molecule: ribosomal RNA, 934 nt
Filed under: methanogenic prokaryote enrichment culture B19_59
Description: bacterial SSU rRNA
Rfam family: Bacterial small subunit ribosomal RNA
Source: RNAcentral
AGAGUUUGAUCAUGGCUCAGAACAAACGCUGGCGGCGUGCCUAACACAUGCAAGUCGUACGAGAAAGUCCGCUUCGGUGGAUGAGUAAAGUGGCGCACGGGUGAGUAACGCGUGGAUAAUCUACCCUUUAGUCUGGAAUAACUUAUCGAAAGGUGAACUAAUACCGGAUAAUAUCCCGAUUUCUUCGGCGAUCGGGAUCAAAGAAGGCCUCUGCUUGCAAGCUUUCACUGAAGGAUGAGUCCGCGUACCAUUAGCUAGUUGGCAGGGUAAUGGCCUACCAAGGUUAUGAUGGUUAGCUGGUCUGAGAGGAUGAUCAGCCACACUGGAACUGAAACACGGUCCAGACUCCUACGGGAGGCAGCAGUGAGGAAUAUUGCGCAAUGGGGGCAACCCUGACGCAGCAACGCCGCGUGAGUGAGGAAGGUUUUCGGAUUGUAAAGCUCUGUCGAGCGGAAAGAAGUGCAUGGUGGUUAAUAUCCAUCAUGCUUGACGGUACCGCUAAAGGAAGCACCGGCUAACUCCGUGCCAGCAGCCGCGGUAAUACGGGGGGUGCAAGCGUUGUUCGGAAUCAUUGGGCGUAAAGCGCGUGUAGGCGGCUGGACAAGUCAGAUGUGAAAGCCCUGGGCUUAACCCAGGAAGUGCAUUUGAAACUGUUCAGCUAGAGUAAGGGAGAGGAAAGUGGAAUUCCUGGUGUAGAGGUGAAAUUCGUAGAUAUCAGGAGGAACACCGGUGGCGAAGGCGACUUUCUGGCCCUAUACUGACGCUGAGACGCGAAAGCGUGGGUAGCAAACAGGAUUAGAUACCCUGGUAGUCCACGCUGUAAACGAUGUUCACUAUGUGUUGGGGGUAUUGACCCUUCCAGUGCCGCAGCUAACGCAUUAAGUGAACCGCCUGGGGAGUACGGUCGCAAGAUUAAAACUCAAGGAAUUGACGG